GAUGAACGCUAGCUACAGGCUUAACACAUGCAAGUCGAGGGGCAUCAGGAAGAAAGCCUGCUUUCUUUGCUGGCGACCGGCGCACGGGUGAGUAACACGUAUCCAACCUGCCCUUUACUCGGGGAUAGCCUUUCGAAAGAAAGAUUAAUACCCGAUAGCAUAAUGAUUCCGCAUGGUUUCAUUAUUAAAGGAUUCCGGUAAAGGAUGGGGAUGCGUUCCAUUAGGUUGUUGGUGAGGUAACGGCCCACCAAGCCUUCGAUGGAUAGGGGUUCUGAGAGGAAGGUCCCCCACAUUGGAACUGAGACACGGUCCAAACUCCUACGGGAGGCAGCAGUGAGGAAUAUUGGUCAAUGGGCGCUAGCCUGAACCAGCCAAGUAGCGUGAAGGAUGAAGGCUCUAUGGGUCGUAAACUUCUUUUAUAUAAGAAUAAAGUGCAGUAUGUAUACUGUUUUGUAUGUAUUAUAUGAAUAAGGAUCGGCUAACUCCGUGCCAGCAGCCGCGGUAAUACGGAGGAUCCGAGCGUUAUCCGGAUUUAUUGGGUUUAAAGGGAGCGUAGGUGGACUGGUAAGUCAGUUGUGAAAGUUUGCGGCUCAACCGUAAAAUUGCAGUUGAUACUGUCAGUCUUGAGUACAGUAGAGGUGGGCGGAAUUCGUGGUGUAGCGGUGAAAUGCUUAGAUAUCACGAAGAACUCCGAUUGCGAAGGCAGCUCACUGGACUGCAACUGACACUGAUGCUCGAAAGUGUGGGUAUCAAACAGG
This 758-nucleotide ribosomal RNA is filed under the name uncultured bacterium. RNAcentral describes it as "bacterial SSU rRNA". It matches the Rfam family "Bacterial small subunit ribosomal RNA", at positions 28 to 776 of the family's 1533-position model. The record is from RNAcentral.